AGCAGGGAGAACAUGCAUGAAUGCAGCAUGUCCUGGAACCCACAUAGGGAGAAGCAAUUCAGAAUUUAGUCCUAAGUGGAGCACAGGAUCUGGUCCAAGAGUUGAAAUAUAGCAGAACUUCUUCGUAAUAGCAGUCAUAAUGUAAUUAAAUUUAAUAUCCUUGUAGGGGGAAAAAUGCUAAAGAAACCCACCACAAUAGCAUUUAAUUUAAAAAAGGGGAACUACACAAAAAUAGAAACUAAAAGGAACAGCCACAGGGUUGAAAUGCCUGCAAACUGCAUGGAGAACAUUUAUUUAAAAACACCAUAAUAGAGGCUCAUACUAAAUGUAAACCCCCAAAUAAAAAAAAAAACAGAGAACAAAAAAAAAAGCCACCAUAGCAGAAUAAGAGAGGCAGUUAGAGGUGAAAAGGCAUCCUUUAGAAAUUGCAAGUCAAAUCCUGGUGAGGAAAGGAGCAUAAACUCUGGUAAGUCAAGUCUAAAAGGCAGGCCAAGAAAGAAUUUGAAGAGGACCUAGCUAAAGACACAAA
Dermochelys coriacea (leatherback sea turtle) is the source of this 529-nucleotide long non-coding RNA. RefSeq lists it as uncharacterized. The record is from RefSeq and is a predicted model, not a curated record. Lineage: Eukaryota; Metazoa; Chordata; Testudines; Dermochelyidae. The transcript is spliced from 4 exons.